CCUACGGGAGGCAGCAGUGAGGAAUAUUGGUCAAUGGGCGCGAGCCUGAACCAGCCAAGUAGCGUGAAGGAUGAAUGCCCUACGGGUUGUAAACCUCUUUUAUAAAGGAAUAAAGUGAGGCACGUGUGCCUUUUUGUAUGUACUUUAUGAAUAAGGAUCGGCUAACUCCGUGCCAGCAGCCGCGGUAAUACGGAGGAUCCGAGCGUUAUCCGGAUUUUUUGGGAUUAAAGGGAGCGUAGAUGGGUUGUUAAGUCAGUGGUGAAAGUUUGCGGCUCAACCGUAAAAUUGCAAUUGAUACUGGCAGUCUUGAGUACAGUUGAGGUAGGCGGAAUGCGUGGUGUAGCGGUGAAAUGCAUAGAUAUCACGAAGAACUCCGAUUGCGAAGGCAGCUUACUAAACUGCCACUGACAUUGAUGCUCGAAAGUGUGGGUAUCAAACAGGAUUAGAUACCCGGGUAGUC
RNAcentral lists this ribosomal RNA (460 nucleotides) under uncultured bacterium. RNAcentral describes it as "partial 16S ribosomal RNA". It matches the Rfam family "Bacterial small subunit ribosomal RNA", at positions 338 to 795 of the family's 1533-position model. The record is from RNAcentral.